GUGGUUUAAAUUCGAAGGAACGCGAAGAACCUUACCCAGGUCUUGACAUCCUCUGACAACCCUAGAGAUAGGCCUUUUCCCUUCGGGGGACAGAGUGACAGGUGGUGCAUGGUUGUCGUCAGCUCGUGUCGUGAGAUGCUGGGUUAAGUCCCGCAACGAGCGCAACCCUUGAUCUUAGUUGCCAGCACUCAGUUGGGCACUCUAAGGUGACUGCCGGUGACAAACCGGAGGAAGGUGGGGAUGACGUCAAAUCAUCAUGCCCCUUAUGACCUGGGCGACACACGUGCUACAAUGGAUGGUACAAAGGGCUGCAAACCUGCGAAGGUAAGCGUUCCCAUAAAGCCAUUCUCAGUCCGGAUUGCAGGCUGCAACUCGCCUGCAUGAAGCCGGAAUCGCUAGUAAUCGCGGAUCCGCAUGCCGCCGCGAGUACGUUCCCGGGCCUGGUACACACCACCCGUCACCUCACGAGAGUUUGUCACACCCUAAGUCCCGUGAGG
This 497-nucleotide ribosomal RNA is filed under the name uncultured Bacillus sp. Its description in RNAcentral is "bacterial SSU rRNA". It matches the Rfam family "Bacterial small subunit ribosomal RNA", at positions 941 to 1436 of the family's 1533-position model. Lineage: Bacteria; Bacillati; Bacillota; Bacilli; Caryophanales; Bacillaceae. The record is from RNAcentral.